AUGAACGCUGGCGGCGUGCCUCAUACAUGCCAGUCGAGCGAACAGACGAGGAGCUUGCUCCUCUGACGUUAGCGGCGGACGGGUGAGUAACACGUGGAUAACCUACCUAUAAGACUGGGAUAACUUCGGGAAACCGGAGCUAAUACCGGAUAAUAUAUUGAACCGCAUGGUUCAAUAGUGAAAGACGGUUUUGCUGUCACUUAUAGAUGGAUCCGCGCCGCAUUAGCUAGUUGGUAAGGUAACGGCUUACCAAGGCGACGAUGCGUAGCCGACCUGAGAGGGUGAUCGGCCACACUGGAACUGAGACACGGUCCAGACUCCUACGGGAGGCAGCAGUAGGGAAUCUUCCGCAAUGGGCGAAAGCCUGACGGAGCAACGCCGCGUGAGUGAUGAAGGUCUUCGGACCGUAAAACUCUGUUAUUAGGGAAGAACAAAUGUGUAAGUAACUAUGCACGUCUUGACGGUACCUAAUCAGAAAGCCACGGCUAACUACGUG
RNAcentral lists this ribosomal RNA (496 nucleotides) under uncultured bacterium. Its description in RNAcentral is "partial 16S ribosomal RNA". It matches the Rfam family "Bacterial small subunit ribosomal RNA", at positions 29 to 507 of the family's 1533-position model. The record is from RNAcentral.